RNAcentral lists this ribosomal RNA (820 nucleotides) under uncultured Bacillus sp. Its description in RNAcentral is "bacterial SSU rRNA". It matches the Rfam family "Bacterial small subunit ribosomal RNA", at positions 33 to 856 of the family's 1533-position model. Lineage: Bacteria; Bacillati; Bacillota; Bacilli; Caryophanales; Bacillaceae. The record is from RNAcentral.
GCGCUGCGGGCGGCUUAUAAUGCAGUCGAACGGCAGCACGUGUAGCAAUACAUGGUGGCGAGUGGCGCACGGGUGCGUAACACGUAUGUAACCUACCUCUAACAGUGGCAUAACAAUGAGAAAUUAUUGCUAAUUCCGCAUGUGGUUAAUUUGAGGCAUCUUAGAUUAACUAAAGAUUUAUCGGUUAGAGCUGGGCAUGCGUCCCAUUAGCUAGUUGGUGAGGUAACGGCUCACCAAGGCAUCGAUGGGUAGGGGCUCUGAGAGGAUUGUCCCCCACACUGGUACUGAGACACGGACCAGACUCCUACGGGAGGCAGCAGUAAGGAAUAUUGGGCAAUGGACGCAAGUCUGACCCAGCCAUGCCGCGUGAAGGAAGACGGCCCUAUGGGUUGUAAACUUCUUUUCUCAGGGGGUAAACUCCGGAACGUGUUCCGGACUGAAAGUACCUGAGGAAUAAGCAUCGGCUAACUCCGUGCCAGCAGCCGCGGUAAUACGGAGGAUGCGAGCGUUAUCCGGAUUCAUUGGGUUUAAAGGGUGCGCAGGCGGAUAUAUAAGUCGGAGGUGAAAUUCUGAUGCUCAACAUCAGCCGUGCCUUCGAUACUGUAUAUCUAGAGUCAAGUUGGAGUAGGCGGAAUGUGUUGUGUAGCGGUGAAAUGCUUAGAUAUAACACAGAACACCGAUCGCGAAGGCAGCUUACUAAACUUUGACUGACGCUCAUGCACGAAAGCGUGGGGAUCAAACAGGAUUAGAUACCCUGGUAGUCCACGCUGUAACGAUGAUUACUCGCUGCUGGCGAUACACAGUCAGUGGCUAAGUCGAA